RNAcentral lists this ribosomal RNA (301 nucleotides) under uncultured bacterium. RNAcentral's name for it is "partial 16S ribosomal RNA". It matches the Rfam family "Bacterial small subunit ribosomal RNA", at positions 509 to 807 of the family's 1533-position model. The record is from RNAcentral.
CAGUAGCCACGGGAAUACAGAGGGUGCGAGCGUUAAUCGGAUUUACUGGGCGUAAAGCGUGCGUAGGCGGCUUCUUAAGUCGGAUGUGAAAUCCCUGAGCUUAACUUAGGAAUUGCAUUCGAUACUGGGAAGCUAGAGUAUGGGAGAGGAUGGUAGAAUUCCAGGUGUAGCGGUGAAAUGCGUAGAGAUCUGGAGGAAUACCGAUGGCGAAGGCAGCCAUCUGGCCUAACACUGACGCUGAGGUACGAAAGCAUGGGGAGCAAACAGGAUUAGAGACCCGCGUAGUCCCUGUCUCUUAUAC